UAACGCGUGGGUAACCUGCCCUUUUGUGGGGAACAACUUCGAGAAAUCGGAGCUAAUACCGCAUAAUAAUAGAGGAUCGCAUGAUUCUUUAAGGAAAGAUGGCCUCUGAAGAUGCUAUCGCAAAGGGAUGGACCCGCGUCUGAUUAGCUAGUUGGAAGGGUAACGGCCUACCAAGGCAACGAUCAGUAGCCGGCCUGAGAGGGUGAACGGCCACAUUGGGACUGAGACACGGCCCAAACUCCUACGGGAGGCAGCAGUGGGGAAUCUUCCGCAAUGGGCGAAAGCCUGACGGAGCAAUGCCGCGUGAGUGAAGAAGGCCUUCGGGUUGUAAAACUCUGUCCUUAUCGAAGAGAGGUAGGUAUGUGAAUAAUGUACCUAUAGGACGGUAGAUAAGGAGGAAGCCCCGGCUAACUACGUGCCAGCAGCCGCGGUAAUACGUAGGGGGCGAGCGUUGUCCGGAAUCACUGGGCGUAAAGGGCGCGUAGGCGGUUUAAUAAGUCAGUGGUGAAAACUGAGGGCUCAACCCUCAGCCUGCCACUGAUACUGUUAGACUUGAGUAUGGAAGAGGAGAAUGGAAUUCCUAGUGUAGCGGUGAAAUGCGUAGAUAUUAGGAGGAACACCAGUGGCGAAGGCGAUUCUCUGGGCCAAGACUGACGCUGAGGCGCGAAAGCGUGGGGAGCAAACAGGAUUAGAUACCCUGGUAGU
RNAcentral lists this ribosomal RNA (705 nucleotides) under uncultured bacterium. Its description in RNAcentral is "bacterial SSU rRNA". It matches the Rfam family "Bacterial small subunit ribosomal RNA", at positions 111 to 794 of the family's 1533-position model. The record is from RNAcentral.